UAAUAACGACGCGUUAGGGAUAGCAGCGGCAUCCCAUGUAGUAGUGUAAACUCACUACAUGGAUAUAGCGCAUAGCCCGCUCGAAC
This 86-nucleotide small RNA is filed under the name Ulvibacter antarcticus. RNAcentral describes it as "Flavo-1 RNA". Lineage: Bacteria; Pseudomonadati; Bacteroidota; Flavobacteriia; Flavobacteriales; Flavobacteriaceae. The record is from RNAcentral.